Molecule: long non-coding RNA, 6363 nt
Filed under: Sus scrofa (pig)
Lineage: Eukaryota; Metazoa; Chordata; Mammalia; Artiodactyla; Suidae
Description: lncRNA (ENSSSCG00040062959.1)
Source: RNAcentral
UUUUUUUUUUUUUUUUUUUUUUUUUUUUUGGUAGUAGUUCACAUUUUCAAAAUAUUUUGAAGGGUUCCUCAAAAAGUUAAGCAUAAAAUUGCCAUAGGACCCAGCAGUUCCACCCUGGAUAUGUGUGAAGGAAUUGAAAACAGGCAGUUCCUGCUGUGGCUCAGUGGUAAUGAAUCCAACCAAUAUCCAUGAGUAUGUAGGUUCGAUCCCUGGCCUCACCCAAUGGGUUAAGGAUCUGGUGUUGCCGUGAGCUGUGGUUGCAGACGAGGCUCAGAUCUUGCAUUGCAUAGGUCGGCAGCUAUAGCUCCCAUUCAACCCCUAGCCUGGAUUUGGGCCAUUUUAAUAGGUGGGUAAAGGAAUCUCAUUGUUUUAAUUUGCAUUUUUCAGAUGACAAGUGAUAUGGCAAAAUUUGUGUUUUUUAAAGAGUGUUUAAAAGAGUGUGGGUUUAAAGAGUGCAUCCCUGAAAAGCGAAAAAAAAAAGAAAAAAAAGAAUUUGAAACAGACAUACAUGGUCUUUAGGCAGAUGUCCAUACCAUAGCAGCACUGUUGACAGUACCCAAAUGGAAACAACCCACAUGUCCAUCAGCAGGUGUAUGGAUAAACAAAAUGUGGACUAUGCAUACAAUGGACUAUUAUGCAGCCAUGAAAAGAAUAGAGUAUAAAUAUAUACUGCAACAUGGCUAAACAAAAUAUUAUGUGACAGGCUAGGGGUUGAGUCGGAGGUAUAGCCGCCAGCCUGUGCCACAGCCACAGCAACGCGGGAUGNGUGCCACAGCAACUCGGGAUGCGAGCCACAUCUGCGACCUACACCACAGCUCAUGGCAAUGCCAGAUCCUUAACCCACUGAGCAAGGCCAGAGGUCGAACCUGCAACCUCAUGGUUCCUAAUCGGAUUCGUUUCCGCUGCGCCACGACGGGAACUCCGGAGGUGCUUUCUUUUGUUGCUUAUAACAAGGUCUGAGUAAUAGACAUUGUGACCUUCUAUGACUCACUGAAUUUCUUAGGCUCAUUUUUUCUCACGUGUGCAGGAGGUACCAGUGGCCUCACAGUUACCUGGAUGUUCAAAUGAAUAGUGUGGGCAAAUGCGACGGGCACUGAAACAGGGGUGAUGGGGAGGCUGCUCCAAGUUGCAUGGUUAUUUUAUUAACUACCUGCCACGAAUGGUUUGAUGAUUCUGAAUGUUGUUGGUUUCUUAGUUUAUGUUAAACGUUUUUUUCAGAAACAAAUGAUGCCAUGAGCACAUUCCAUUCUUUUAAGUCAAGGUGUUAAAAUAAGCUUGAUUUGACCUGUGUAUUUGAAGGAAGUGAAUGAGUGGGUCUUGAUAAAUUAUGGUCUCCUCUGGCCUAAAAAAAGCUCUCUGAGUUGAGCUGUACUCAUGUUUUGGUGAGUGUGGGUGUGGAGUCUGUUAGAUAGAUACUUCUCCCACCUCUGUGCUGGGGAAAAUCAUGCUAAAAUUUUAGAGUGAUUGUACAUAUUUGGCUUUGGAAUUAAGUAGCCUUGAGUUUGGAAUCCUAGUGUGGCCACUUACUACACUAUGGUGUCUUUGAGCUCCUCAGUCUUGUCAUCUAUAAAAUGGAAAUAAUCAUCCCAACCCUGCAGAUGAGAGAUUGUAGGAGAUCCUCUCCUUGCGGUCCUUAGCUGUGCAUUGCAUAUGGUAGUUGCUUAAUAAAGACACCUGUUACCUUUGAAAAAUGACAGCUUUAGUAGCAGUUGCAACUAAAGGGGGUGAGACUAGAAAAUAUGAAUCUGAAUUUGGUAUUUAAUGCUCAAAUCGAUCAAUCAGUAUUAAAAUCAAUCCGCUACUCUUGGGUGCCUCCUCUGUGCAGUGGGCAGGGGUGGACGCAUAAGAAGGCAGCUGAUACUGUCCCUGUCUGUGUGGGGAACGAGUCAUCUACAUAAAGAAGAACAGGGAACAUGCAAGGAGCUGGACUUGGAAGGUGGCGGAGAAUGGAAACAGAGAGGCCUCCAGGGGUCUCCAGCUGGUGGGAAAACGUAGCAAAGGAAGGGACGUAACGCCUUAAACAUCCAGGGUGAUCCUUGGAAGAGGCCAGAUGAUGUACACACAUCAUGCCUCAUUCUUCCUGUUUUCUUUUCCCUUCGUCUUCCUGAUUUUCUCCCAGGCCUGCUUUGUGUGUCUGAUCCUCAUGAGAAAGAGCCGUCCAUGCCCAUUGCACAUCCCAGAGUUUUGCUGCUGUUGUGCAGACUCCUUUUCUCUCUGAACAGUUUGUUGGUCUUUUGUUGGCCCACAUCCUGAAAUGACCAGAAUUCUCCUGGCAGAUUCUGCCUCUGCCCUCCUAUUUGUUCUGCAUUAUUUUACUUUUUGCUUUUUAAAAUUUUAAUUUUCAUUUUACGGCCACACCGGUAGCAUAUGGAAGGGUUGAAUUAGAGCCACUAAGCUGCGACCUACACCACAGCUUGUGGCAACGACAGAUCCUUAACCGACUGAGUGAGGCCAGGGAUUGGACCUGCAUCCUUAUGGACAUUGUGUGAGGUUCGUAACCUGCUGAGCCACAAGGGGAGCUCCAUCUCUGGCUUAUUUUAGUUUCCUGAACUUAUAUGGCCUUUUCAGUUUUAUCAUGUUAAAUUGUUGAGUUGAGCACCUCCUAGAGACAGCGGGCAGGGAAGCAGACUGGAGAUGCCUGGGGAGUAGAAAGAUGGGUGAGCCAGGGUGGUCCCGGCCCCAGGGGCAGUUCACUUAGUAGAGGAAACAGAUGGGCAGACUGAUGGACUCCAACUAACUGUGAUUAGUGCUUGAUGUUGGUCAGAUGAGAAAAGACGUUUGGUGGGAGCCCCAGGUCCCCAGGUCCUCCAUCAGUCACAAAGGCUGUUCACCUCUCCAGCACUGUGUGGAAAAACACAUUCUGUAUCGGUAGCCGCGGUUCUGGUGUGAAAGAGUUUAAGUGAGGGUUCCUUUUGUCACCUCACCCAAAUCCUCCUCCGGGCAGGGAGUUUAGACUAUGAAGUCUGACUUGUCCCUCUCCUCCCACAGAUGUACACCUGCUCCCUGCUGGGUUCCCCAUUUCAGAAACGGUGCUGUCAUCCCCCCCGGUCCCCUCUCCCCUGUAACUCAUCAGCCGCCAUCACGUCUCUCUCCCCCACUACCACCCCCCAAGUCCAAGCUAUUUGCUCCAGGUGGAGCUCGCGAGCCAGGUGACCAGGGUCUGAGAUUCAUUUAGAGGGUCUUUGCCAGCAAAGAAAGAAAGAAAAGAAAGAGGAGGCAAAGAGAGAAAGAAAGAGGAGACUUGAAAGCGUGAGAGUACAGGGUACAUGGUAUGGUUGAGUUUUAUUUGUGAAAUCCGUGUUUGCAUAAGAGUUUCAGGGGAAAAGAUUAACCUCGCAAAAGGUUUUACAUACGUUGACUGUGCCCCCGCAACGACUGAGGCCCGUGGCAUUGCCGUUAUUACUCCUGACUCACAGGAGAGGAUUGAGGCCCGGGGAAGUGGAGGGGCUGGCCGGGGUCCCAGGGGAUGUCAGGCUGGUAGCCCCUCGGGGACUGUGUGUAAUGCACUAGGUUGCAAAGCAAAGUGUCUUUCUCAGUCUGCAAAUUGUGGUCAACCCAAGCUGGAGGGUUUCUGUUUGACACACGUCCGUACCUUUACUCCUUCCCUUCCCCGCCUCUGAGCUGCAGCCACCAUGCUCCUCGCGGUGCACACUGGAUGCGGCUGCUCCUCUGAGGCGGGGCCCAGGCUUGUAGGUUGCAGUCUGUGUGGCUACAGGGCUGUGCAGCCUGGUCCUGCUGGCCUCCUGAACCUCGCAGAUCUUCUGGGCUCAUGGGCUUUGAGACCCCCUGGAGCCCCUGCCUGUGCUCCCGUGACCUCUCAGGCUCAGGCCCUCCGUGACCUGCCCCCGAGGUACCCAGCACUUACUGCAUCCCUAAAGAAAUAGUGCCUCGUCCACUUGAUGCCUGUCUCGGGGCCAAGGGCACAGCGGCUGGCUUGCAGCCCCAGCCCCGGGGAGAGUGGCUGGCCUGUCAGUGGAUGCUUACUGGGCGUUCAUUGGCCAUGCGUGGUGAAGAAAGGCAGAGUCUCAUGUCAGGCUUGGAUGAAGAGCUGCCGGCCCACGUUUGUUGGGCCCUCAGACCUCUGUGGGGGUGGGCAGCUUAGUGAAAGAGUCCAGGGCCCCACGUCAAAAGGUAGAGGCUCUGGCUUCCCCACUUCUUUGCACUUCGGCCCUGAGACAUAAGACAGGGUUGAGGACAGGGUGCCCCCCACAUCCUGGCUGAUCAUGACAAUCAGGGGAGAUAAAUUGUGUGUGAAAGUUACAUGGCAGCAGGGUUGGCUGCUCAGGAAGUUUGGCGUUUUCUCCCUCUUCCUUGGGUCUCCUUGGGCUUGGCGUGUCCCUUAGUGGUUGGACAGGCCGUCUGUGCCCGGUGGUAACAGGCCCACAAGGUCAAGGGCAGUUCUCUCUGUUGAGUGAGCGUAAGCCUGGGCCAAAGCCACUCUGAUUCCUUCUUUAAGUUCACAUAUUGGUGAUUUUUCAAACCGUAGUAUUUGACCUUGGGAGCUCUCUGGCUUAGAGUGACGUGGUGACACCUGUGUUCCCUGACGUCGUGACUGCAGUGAUAAUGGUCAUGGCUUCUGUCUACUGAGCAGCCGCCCUGCGACAGCUGCGUGCCCGGUUCCCGUGCCUCCCGGCCACGUGUGGAGUCGGUGGCGGCCCCUCACCUUGCGGAGGUGGGAACAGGCCCAGGGAGGCAGAAACCUGCCAGGCUCUUCCAGUUGAGUUCUUUAUAGGACACCAUUCUCAUUUUACCUACAACUAGACUAUUGAUUUGUUUUGUUUUUUAACUUAGAAAAUAAUGACUGUUAAGUUCCUUGUAGAGCAAGUUUUAAUGCUGGUCUUUUGCCUUUUCUGUGCGGUCUGUAUGCUUGAUCGGUGUAAUCCAGCUUUUCUUGGGUGAGACUGUUGCCUGGAGAAUCGGAUGGGGAGUGGGGGGUGGUCUGGUUGUCCAGCCCCGCGUUCCCAUCCCCGUGGUGGACCCUGCGGGGUCUCCUUUCCCUGCAGGUGCUUCCUCCUCCCUUUGCACCCCCCGCUGCCCCGAUCCCUGUGGCGGAGUGGGUGGAGCGCAGGCUGUGGAAAUAGGAACUGAUUUCCUCUCUUCCUCACUUCUUUUUACUUCUAAAGGCUUCUGUUUGUCUUCUCUGGGCUGCAUUCAUUUUCCCUCUUUACUGCUGCAGUUUACUGCACUUUGCUGGUGCCUCUAUUUUUAUUUUUCAGACUUGCCCAAAAUGUAUCUCGAUUUUGGUAUCUCUGGAUCUUUCAAACUCUGUACUUUGUACUGAUGAUUCCCCCUGUCUCGCACAGUGCUGGCCCGUUGCAAGUCUAGCUUCUUUCCCUUCUGUCAUUAAAUUUGAAUACUUUUCUGUUCGUGCUCUUUUAUAGAAAUUUGUAUUUCAUUUUUUAGAUGGUAAUCAUAGACCGUUGGUGUCCUGCAGCUUGACUGCCCAUCAGACUGACUUGUUUCUAAAAUCAUAGCUCAUGGUGCAGAAGGCAACUUUUUGGCAUCCUUGCUUUUUCUUUAGAAGGCAGAUCUGUCCCUGUCACUUUGGUGCUCCACACGCCUUCAUUGGCUCUUGUCACAUCAGUUGCGGACAUCCCACCACAGUGUGGGGGACACUGCUGGCCCUCUCCGGGUGCCUUCACCCCCCACCUCCCCUACCACCACUCCCCUCUACCCCCCACCAGCAUUCCUUAGACUUUUCAUUCCAGGACUCCUUUAACGAUUCUUUGUGAUGAGGUCCACAAAGAACUUUAAAUUGUGUGGAUUAUAUCCAGCAGUGUUUACAAUCUUAGAAACUGAAAUGGAAAAGAUUUAAGAAUACUCAUUACAUUAGUUUAUAUAUAGCAAUAAAUAAACCCAUUGCAUAACACAGACAACACUUAAUGAAAAAGAACUAUUUCCAGAGCAAAAGUACUUUUAAUGAGAAGGGUGACAGUGUUUUUACUUUUUUCCAGAUAUCUUUAAUAUCUACUUUAAUGAAAGACAGCUGGGUUCUGAUACAUGCUUUUGCCUUCAGUCUGUUUCAGUAUGUGGUGGUGGUUCAACUGUAUGAAGAAGAUGCAGCCUUGCAUGGAUAUGUAGUCACAAAAGGGAGGAAUGGUUUCAUUUCCAUUCCGGUUAAUUGUGGAUAGUCUUUGAAAUAUCAGAGCUUGACAAGCGGUGUUUUUUAAAGAUCUGUUGCAGCGUAGACUCCAAGACCAUAUAUGAAUGAACUUUUCAUAUUCUGUUGGUCUGGAGUUCCCUGGUGGCUCAGCAGGUGAAGGAUCUGGCAUUGUCACUGCUGUGAUUUGGAUUGCUGUUGUGGCGCAGCUUCGAUCCUUGACUCUGGAACUUCUGCAUGCUGAGGGUGUGGCAAAAAAAAAA